This 593-nucleotide ribosomal RNA is filed under the name uncultured bacterium. RNAcentral describes it as "bacterial SSU rRNA". It matches the Rfam family "Bacterial small subunit ribosomal RNA", at positions 28 to 616 of the family's 1533-position model. The record is from RNAcentral.
AUUGAACGCUGGCGGCAUGCCUUACACAUGCAAGUCGAACGGCAGCACGGGAGCAAUCCUGGUGGCGAGUGGCGAACGGGUGAGUAAUACAUCGGAACGUGCCCAGUCGUGGGGGAUAACUACUCGAAAGAGUAGCUAAUACCGCAUACGACCUGAGGGUGAGAGCGGGGGAUCGCAAGACCUCGCGCGAUUGGAGCGGCCGAUGUCAGAUUAGCUAGUUGGUGGGGUAAAGGCCUACCAAGGCUACGAUCUGUAGUUGGUCUGAGAGGACGACCAGCCACACUGGGACUGAGACACGGCCCAGACUCCUACGGGAGGCAGCAGUGGGGAAUUUUGGACAAUGGGCGCAAGCCUGAUCCAGCAAUGCCGCGUGCAGGAAGAAGGCCUUCGGGUUGUAAACUGCUUUUGUCAGGGAAGAAAUCCUCUGGGUUAAUACCUCGGGGGGAUGACGGUACCUGAAGAAUAAGCACCGGCUAACUACGUGCCAGCAGCCGCGGUAAUACGUAGGGUGCGAGCGUUAAUCGGAAUUACUGGGCGUAAAGCGUGCGCAGGCGGCUUUGCAAGACAGAGGUGAAAUCCCCGGGCUCAACCUG